CCUACGGGAGGCAGCAGUGGGGGAUAUUGCACAAUGGGGGGAACCCUGAUGCAGCAACGCCGCGUGGGUGAAGAAGCGCCUCGGCGCGUAAAGCCCUGUCAGCAGGGAAGAAAAUGACGGUACCUGAAGAAGAAGCCCCGGCUAACUACGUGCCAGCAGCCGCGGUAAUACGUAGGGGGCAAGCGUUAUCCGGAUUUACUGGGUGUAAAGGGGGCGCAGACGGCGAUGCAAGCCAGGAGUGAAAGCCCGGGGCCCAACCCCGGGACUGCUCUUGGAACUGCGUGGCUAGAGUGCAGGAGGGGCAGGCGGAAUUCCUGGUGUAGCGAUGAAAUGCGUAGAUAUCAGGAGGAACACCGGUGGCGAAGGCGGCCUGCUGGACUGCAACUGACGUUGAGGCCCGAAAGCGUGGGGAGCAAACAGGAUUAGAUACCCCAGUAGUC
Molecule: ribosomal RNA, 440 nt
Filed under: uncultured bacterium
Lineage: Bacteria
Description: partial 16S ribosomal RNA
Rfam family: Bacterial small subunit ribosomal RNA
Source: RNAcentral